Molecule: ribosomal RNA, 253 nt
Filed under: uncultured bacterium
Lineage: Bacteria
Description: partial 16S ribosomal RNA
Rfam family: Bacterial small subunit ribosomal RNA
Source: RNAcentral
UACGAAGGGGGCGAGCGUUGUUCGGAGUUACUGGGCGUAAAGGGCGCGUAGGCGGCGCUCCAAGUUAGGCGUGAAAGCCCCGGGCUCAACCUGGGAAUAGCGCUUAAGACUGGAGUGCUCGAGUGCGGAAGAGGUGAGUGGAAUUCCCAGUGUAGAGGUGAAAUUCGUAGAUAUUGGGAAGAACACCAGUGGCGAAGGCGGCUCACUGGUCCGCAACUGACGCUGAGGCGCGAAAGCGUGGGGAGCAAACAGG